This 651-nucleotide ribosomal RNA is filed under the name uncultured bacterium. RNAcentral describes it as "bacterial SSU rRNA". It matches the Rfam family "Bacterial small subunit ribosomal RNA", at positions 28 to 674 of the family's 1533-position model. The record is from RNAcentral.
AUUGAACGCUGGCGGCAGGCUUAACACAUGCAAGUCGAGCGGGGAAAGGUAGCUUGCUACCUUACCUAGCGGCGGACGGGUGAGUAAUGCCUAGGAAUCUGCCUGGUAGUGGGGGACAACGUCUCGAAAGGGACGCUAAUACCGCAUACGUCCUACGGGAGAAAGCAGGGGACCUUCGGGCCUUGCGCUAUCAGAUGAGCCUAGGUCGGAUUAGCUAGUUGGUGAGGUAAUGGCUCACCAAGGCGACGAUCCGUAACUGGUCUGAGAGGAUGAUCAGUCACACUGGAACUGAGACACGGUCCAGACUCCUACGGGAGGCAGCAGUGGGGAAUUUUGGACAAUGGGCGAAAGCCUGAUCCAGCAAUGCCGCGUGAGCGAAGAAGGCCUUCGGGUUGUAAAGCUCUUUUGUCAGGGAAGAAACGGUGAGAGCUAAUAUCUCUUGCUAAUGACGGUACCUGAAGAAUAAGCACCGGCUAACUACGUGCCAGCAGCCGCGGUAAUACGUAGGGUGCAAGCGUUAAUCGGAUUUACUGGGCGUAAAGCGUGCGUAGGUGGCCAAUUAAGUCAAAUGUGAAAUCCCCGAGCUUAACUUGGGAAUUGCAUUCGAUACUGGUUGGCUAGAGUAUGGGAGAGGAUGGUAGAAUUCCAGGU